CACAGGCAAAGGGAGAAGCAUUUUCAGAGAUCCCUGGGCUGGAGAGAGACUGAGAAGCACUAGGGGCACAGUACUCAGUACCAUGUCAGAGUUGGAAAAGUGUCUUCCAGGUUUUCCCUUCUCUUCCUAUAAGGGGGUCUCAGCAGAAGCAUCUGCGGAGGACCUCAUCUCAAGAUUCAGAUGAAGAUAAGCGUGUGUUUCAGGAAAUGUUGUCCUUCCCUGAGGUUUCUUAUGCUGAAAUCCAAUUGGCUGCUAAGCCUCCAAUUCCUGAGUGGCACCAUCAUUUUAUUAUGAAUGGAGAAAUGGGAUUCCACAGGAAUGUUAGGAGCAUUUGUCAACAGUUCAAAAUAGAAAAAAAAAAAAAAAAAAAAAAAAAAAAAAAACAGUUCGAAUGGGCACAAGAACGUAAAUGUCAAUAUUGGCAUCAGAAAUAGAGACCAAAAAAAAGAGAAAUAGAGACAGAUCUUUGCAAUUCAGUGUUACUUAAUAUAUAAAUGUAGAAUAUAUAUGUGUCUGUGUGUAGCCAUAGUAGGGAUAAAUAUCUAUACUUGAUACAGGUUAUACAUAUAGCGUAUCACUUACCUCCACAGAGAUGAGAUUCUAAAUUGAACAAUGUAGAGAAACAAGUAAAAGAGAGGCUCGACAGCCAAGUCUUUCAGAGUCUACCUUAAUUGGAGUGAUCCACGUGGAAACCAUCAGCCAUGGAACAAGAAAGCACAGCAUCACUUCAUCAACUUCUACAUUAUUACGGACUUUAAAAAAUGCGGAAUAGGGCAGCCUGGAUGGCUCAGAGGUUUAGGCGCCACCUUUCAGGUCCGGGGCCUGAUCCUGGAGACCCGGGAUCGAGUCCCAUGUUGGGCUCCCUGCAUGGAGCCUGCUUCUCUCUCUGCCUGCGUCUCUGCCUCUGCCUCUGCCUCUGUGUUGUGUGUGUGUGUGUGUCUCAUGAAUAAAUAGAUACAAUCUUUUUUAAAAAAUAAACACUGGACAAAUUUAUAAUGCAGAACAAUCUAGAAAGUGACUGGCCCGCAAUCUUCCA
Molecule: long non-coding RNA, 1036 nt
Filed under: Canis lupus familiaris (dog)
Lineage: Eukaryota; Metazoa; Chordata; Mammalia; Carnivora; Canidae
Description: lncRNA (ENSCAFG00030025380.1)
Source: RNAcentral